Molecule: long non-coding RNA, 607 nt
Filed under: Glycine max (soybean)
Lineage: Eukaryota; Viridiplantae; Streptophyta; Magnoliopsida; Fabales; Fabaceae
Description: long non-coding RNA (GMAX_LNC000662)
Source: RNAcentral
GCAGUCGCAGCAGUGGUUUUUUGUUGAGAAACAAGACCUGCAUACACUUGCACAAAAUAUCCGAUGCCAAAGUCAGAGUGCAAGAGGUGAGUAAUGAAAUUAAAUUGUAUACAUGUAGGCAUGGGAUGCCUUGUAUAGCGAUAGAUGAAGGAAAAGUUUAAGUAACUAUUGUGGGCCAUGGACCACAUGGAUUCACAACAGCUAUCUAACUAACUUUCCCUUCAUCCAUCACUAUAUAAGGCAUCUCAUGCCUACAGGUAUACAAUUUAACCUCGUUACUCACCUCCCAGUCUUUGAUUUUGGCAUCGUAGUGUUUGUGCAAGGUGUUUGCAAGUCUUGUUGCUCACAAAAAACCACCACUGCUGCCGCGAGAGCCACCUGCUUCGUCCACCUUGUUUGGAGCCUUCCGAACAUUUGGAGCUAGAAGUUGAAAAAAAUAGGCCUGUUUAUUUGGAGAUAUAUUUAUAUCUUGUUUUCAAUUUUAGUUACAAGAGAAAAUAGAUAAUGUAUUAAUUUUUUGUUAUUCAAUAAUGUAUGAUAGUUUGUUUAUUUUUACAAACAAUUUCUGAUUAGUUACCUAGUUAACCGUGUAUAACUUUUUAUACUG